CAGUCGCCGCGGUAAUACGGAGGAUCCGAGCGUUAUCCGGAAUUAUUGGGUUUAAAGGGUGCGUAGGCGGACAGAUAAGUCAGUGGUGAAAGACGGUGGCUCAACCAUCGCAGUGCCGUUGAUACUGUUUGUCUUGAAUAUGGAUGAGGUAGGCGGAAUGUGGCAAGUAGCGGUGAAAUGCAUAGAUAUGCCACAGAACACCGAUUGCGAAGGCAGCUUACCAAGGCAAUAUUGACGCUGAGGCACGAAAGCGUGGGGAUCGAACAGGAUUAGAUACCCGGGUAGUCCCUGUCUCUUAUAC
RNAcentral lists this ribosomal RNA (301 nucleotides) under uncultured bacterium. RNAcentral describes it as "partial 16S ribosomal RNA". It matches the Rfam family "Bacterial small subunit ribosomal RNA", at positions 509 to 807 of the family's 1533-position model. The record is from RNAcentral.